RNAcentral lists this ribosomal RNA (254 nucleotides) under uncultured bacterium. RNAcentral's name for it is "partial 16S ribosomal RNA". It matches the Rfam family "Bacterial small subunit ribosomal RNA", at positions 524 to 776 of the family's 1533-position model. The record is from RNAcentral.
UACAGAGGUGGCAAGCGUUGUUCGGAAUUACUGGGCGUAAAGGGCGCGUAGGCGGCCAUCUAAGUCAGACGUGAAAUCCCCCGGCUUAACCUGGGAACUGCGUCUGAUACUGGACGGCUCGAGUAUGGGAGAGGGAUGUAGAAUUCCAGGUGUAGCGGUGAAAUGCGUAGAUAUCUGGAGGAAUACCGGUGGCGAAGGCGGCAUCCUGGACCAUUUACUGACGCUGAGGUGCGAAAGCGUGGGGAGCAAACAGG